GCCGAUGUGGUGGAACUGGUAGACACGUGCGCUUGAGGGGCGUAUGGGGCAACCCGUGGGAGUUCGAAUCUCCCCAUCGGCACCA
RNAcentral lists this transfer RNA (85 nucleotides) under Nitrospina gracilis Nb-211. Its description in RNAcentral is "tRNA-Leu". It matches the Rfam family "tRNA". From Rfam's summary of the family: Transfer RNA (tRNA) molecules are approximately 80 nucleotides in length. Their secondary structure includes four short double-helical elements and three loops (D, anti-codon, and T loops). Lineage: Bacteria; Pseudomonadati; Nitrospinota; Nitrospinia; Nitrospinales; Nitrospinaceae. The record is from RNAcentral. RNAcentral also lists the same sequence under 5 other names.